CGGACGGGUGAGUAAUACAUAGGAAUCUGCCCAGUAGCGGGGGACAACUUGGGGAAACUCAAGCUAAUACCGCAUACGCCCUACGGGGGAAAGCAGGGGAUCUUCGGACCUUGCACUAUUGGAUGAGCCUAUGUCAGAUUAGCUUGUUGGUGGGGUAACGGCCUACCAAGGCGACGAUCUGUAGCUGGUCUGAGAGGACGAUCAGCCACACUGGGACUGAGACACGGCCCAG
Molecule: ribosomal RNA, 232 nt
Filed under: uncultured bacterium
Lineage: Bacteria
Description: partial 16S ribosomal RNA
Rfam family: Bacterial small subunit ribosomal RNA
Source: RNAcentral